This 968-nucleotide ribosomal RNA is filed under the name bacterium VIII.13. Its description in RNAcentral is "bacterial SSU rRNA". It matches the Rfam family "Bacterial small subunit ribosomal RNA", at positions 80 to 1031 of the family's 1533-position model. The record is from RNAcentral.
UGCUCCCUGAUGUCAGCGGCGGACGGGUGAGUAACACGUGGGUAACCUGCCUGUAAGACUGGGAUAACUCCGGGAAACCGGGGCUAAUACCGGAUGCUUGAUUGAACCGCAUGGUUCAAUUAUAAAAGGUGGCUUUUAGCUACCACUUACAGAUGGACCCGCGGCGCAUUAGCUAGUUGGUGAGGUAACGGCUCACCAAGGCGACGAUGCGUAGCCGACCUGAGAGGGUGAUCGGCCACACUGGGACUGAGACACGGCCCAGACUCCUACGGGAGGCAGCAGUAGGGAAUCUUCCGCAAUGGACGAAAGUCUGACGGAGCAACGCCGCGUGAGUGAUGAAGGUUUUCGGAUCGUAAAACUCUGUUGUUAGGGAAGAACAAGUACCGUUCGAAUAGGGCGGUACCUUGACGGUACCUAACCAGAAAGCCACGGCUAACUACGUGCCAGCAGCCGCGGUAAUACGUAGGUGGCAAGCGUUGUCCGGAAUUAUUGGGCGUAAAGCGCGCGCAGGCGGUUUCUUAAGUCUGAUGUGAAAGCCCCCGGCUCAACCGGGGAGGGUCAUUGGAAACUGGGGAACUUGAGUGCAGAAGAGGAGAGUGGAAUUCCACGUGUAGCGGUGAAAUGCGUAGAGAUGUGGAGGAACACCAGUGGCGAAGGCGACUCUCUGGUCUGUAACUGACGCUGAGGCGCGAAAGCGUGGGGAGCGAACAGGAUUAGAUACCCUGGUAGUCCACGCCGUAAACGAUGAGUGCUAAGUGUUAGAGGGUUUCCGCCCUUUAGUGCUGCAGCAAACGCAUUAAGCACUCCGCCUGGGGAGUACGGUCGCAAGACUGAAACUCAAAGGAAUUGACGGGGGCCCGCACAAGCGGUGGAGCAUGUGGUUUAAUUCGAAGCAACGCGAAGAACCUUACCAGGUCUUGACUUCCUCUGACAACCCUAGAGAUAGGGCUUCCCCUUCGGGGGCAGAG